Molecule: long non-coding RNA, 1204 nt
Filed under: Parus major (Great Tit)
Lineage: Eukaryota; Metazoa; Chordata; Aves; Passeriformes; Paridae
Description: lncRNA (ENSPMJG00000001944.1)
Source: RNAcentral
CACAUAAUCUUCUCUGAGCUCUUCAUCCCUUCCAUCAUCUCCCUCCAUCAUCCCGUCAUCUCCUUGUGUCUGUCACCACGGUUACACCAUCACCUUCUCCAUUCCCUCAUCAUCCCAUCAUCUCCAUCCCUUCCAUCAUCUCCUUGUGUCUGUCACCACGGUUACACCUUCACCUUCUCCAUUCCCUCAUCCUUCUAUCAUCUCCAUCCUUUCCAUCAUCUCCAUGUGUCACCUUCACCUUCUCCAUUCCCUCAUCCUCCCAUCAUCUCCUUGUGUCACCGUCACCUCGGUUACACCAUCACCUUCUCCAUUCCCUCAUCCUUCCAUCAUCUCCAUCCCUCCCUUCAUCUCCUUGUGUCUGUCACCUCGGUUACAGCUUCACCUUCUCCAUUCCCUCAUCCUCCCAUCAUCUCCCUCCAUCCUCCCAUCAUCUCCAUGUGUCACCUUCACCUUCUCCAUUCCCUCAUCCUCCUGUCAUCUCCUUGUGUCUGUCACCUCGGUUACACCGUCACCUUCUCCAUUCCUUCAUCCUUCCAUCAUCUCCAUCCCUCCCUUCAUCUCCUUGUGUCUGUCACCUGGGUUACACCGUCACCUUCUCCAUUCCCUCAUCCUCCCUGAACUCUUCAUCCCUCCAUUCUUUCCAUCAUCUCCUUACAUCUGUCACCUCGGUCACACCUUCACCUUCUCCAUUCCCUCAUCCUCCCAUCAUCUCCCUCCAUCCUCUCAUCAUCUCCAUGUGUCACCUUCACCUUCUCCAUUCUCUCAUCCUCCCAUCAUCUCCAUGUGUCACCUUCACCUUCUCCAUUCCCUCAUCCUCCCAUCAUCUCCUUACAUCUGUCACCUCGGUUACAUCGUCACCUUCUCCAUUCCCUCAUCCUCCCAUCAUCUCCAUGUGUCACCUUCACCUUCUCCAUUCCCUCAUCCUCCCAUCAUCUCCUUAAAUCUGUCACCUCGGUUACACCGUCACCUUCUCCAUUCCCUCAUCCUUCCAUCAUCUCCAUGUGUCACCUUCACCUUCUCCAUUCCCUCAUCCUCCCUGAACUCUUCAUCCCUCCAUCCCUUCCAUCAUCUCCAUCCAUCCCUCCCAUCAUCUUCUUGUGUCAUCUUCACCUUCUCCAUUCCCUCAUCCUCCCAUUGUCUCCAUCCCACCUCUGUCCCUCCACCCCCUCCCUCCCACCUCAAGGCUGCACCACCACACCGAAAU